RNAcentral lists this ribosomal RNA (414 nucleotides) under uncultured bacterium. RNAcentral's name for it is "bacterial SSU rRNA". It matches the Rfam family "Bacterial small subunit ribosomal RNA", at positions 355 to 775 of the family's 1533-position model. The record is from RNAcentral.
UCGAGGAUCUUCGGCAAUGGGCGAAAGCCUGACCGAGCGACGCCGCGUGUGCGAUGAAGGCCUUCGGGUUGUAAAGCACUGUCGAGGGAGAGAAAGGCCCGCAAGGGCUUGAUCGAUCUCUGGAGGAAGCACGGGCUAAGUUCGUGCCAGCAGCCGCGGUAAGACGAACCGUGCGAACGUUGUUCGGAAUCACUGGGCUUAAAGGGUGCGUAGGCGGGCGCGUCAGUCAGGGGUGAAAUCCCACGGCCCAACCGUGGAAGUGCCUCUGAUACUGCGCGCCUGGAGGGGGAUAGGGGCGUGCGGAACUUCCGGUGGAGCGGUGAAAUGCGUAGAUAUCGGAAGGAACACCGGUGGCGAAAGCGGCGCGCUGGAUCCCUACUGACGCUGAGGCACGAAAGCCAGGGGAGCAAACGG